This 292-nucleotide ribosomal RNA is filed under the name uncultured bacterium. RNAcentral's name for it is "partial 16S ribosomal RNA". It matches the Rfam family "Bacterial small subunit ribosomal RNA", at positions 505 to 796 of the family's 1533-position model. The record is from RNAcentral.
GUGCCAGCAGCCGCGGUAAGACGUAGGGGGCCAGCGUUGUUCGGAAUUACUGGGUGUAAAGGGUUCGUAGGCGGUGCGGCAAGUUGGGAGUGAAAUCUCUGGGCUUAACCCAGAGGCUGCUUCCAAAACUGCUGUGCUUGAGUGUGGGAGAGGCGCGUGGAAUUGCAGGUGUAGCGGUGAAAUGCGUAGAUAUCUGCAGGAACACCCGUGGCGAAAGCGGCGCGCUGGACCACUACUGACGCUGAGGAACGAAAGCUAGGGGAGCAAACAGGAUUAGAUACCCUGGUAGUCC